AGUCCAGAGAAAAAGAAUGCCCUGUUCUGAGAGAAGACUUUGAGUGACAUUGAUCUUCCCCAAAAUUGCUUGAUCAUAUCUUUAAUAAUGUCCCAAGAUUCUUCAGGGGAGAUGUGGUAGCAGAUCCCUGCUUUGCUCCAUACACCAAAAACAUGAUUUCUUGUGAAGUAGUAGGUCUUAGUGUAUAGA
Telopea speciosissima is the source of this 189-nucleotide long non-coding RNA. RefSeq lists it as uncharacterized. NCBI's taxonomy places the organism in Eukaryota, Viridiplantae, Streptophyta, Magnoliopsida, Proteales, Proteaceae. The record is from RefSeq and is a predicted model, not a curated record. The transcript is spliced from 3 exons.